GAAUAAUCAUGUAUGGAUUUAUUUGACUUUUGGACACAAAAUGGAGGAUUCUAGUACAAGGGAAGACAACUAAUUCAGAGGUGAAUUUAUGUCACAAUUAAGUAUUUUGCUGUCAUAACCAACAAAGCCACCCUUGGAUCCGAGAGAGUUGCCACAGAAACGAGCAAGUCCCGUCAUGUGAACAUCUCACGUCAUCUCGUAAUUACGGACACCCAGCAAUCAGGAGGGAAGUCUUGCAGGAGGGGCACCAGGAACUGCAGGCAUCCAUCCCAGUGACACAGCAACAACAUCAUGCCAAUCAGAUUAAAGAUUCUUACCACAGCACUCGCCAGGUCAUACGUCAUAUGAAAAAUCUGGAGGAGGAACACAAGGAGAAAAAGAUUUAUAUUGCUAAUAAUGCAGUGAGACUAGAACAUCACGGGAGCACAUCAGCAUCUGCGAAUUGACAACUGCCCUGGAGGAUUCAAAACAAUUAUGUUUAACCCCAAAGACAUCAGUCAACACAAGAGAAGAGAAGAUUUGUUAUCCAUCUCAUCUUCGCCUACUAAAAGGUCUGAUACUUAAUAGCUCUGCAUCAAUAAAACUGCAGUGAAAAGGGCUGUUCUAUAUUCUGCAGCGGUUCUCAAUUGGUUUUGCUUUAGGGUUUAGAUUUUACAUUAAACAACGAGUGUAACUCACCACGAUGCAGCAUUUUUAUGGUAAACCAGCCCAAGCUGUAUUGUAAAGAGAUAAACAACAUCUUUUUUUGCAAUCUUUUUUUAUUAUUAUUAAAAAAUAAUUAGUUUCACGCAGUAUUCCACUGGAAACGCAGUAUGUUUGAAAUAAAAAAGACCAAAAUGAAACACUGGGCCAAAUAUUCAAAAUACAGUACAUAAAAAGAGCGAUACUUAUUUUUGCUAUCCUAAAUAUGCACCGUUUUAUGUUCAUUUGCAUUUAUUAAUUUGCAUAUCAUUGUUGUAAUAGACCCUGAUGCUUGUUUCGGUCACGACCCACCAGUUGAAAACCACGGAGAACGCCGCCCACGUGCACUUUUGUGAAACAUUAGGUACUCUUACACACGAUUGCAAGAGUCCCUGUCUUUCUUAGUGAACGCCUGGGAUAUUUGCAUGUGUUUUGUGCAAAGGUAGAUUUGGUUUGAGUUUCACAAGAGCGAUACAGCUAAGAGACGAGAGAGGAUGAUACAAAACGAGGGACGUGGCCUGAAAUGAUAUGAGAUUACAUAUAAACACGGCAGAUGAUUAGUCAUAUGCAAACUACAUUGUGUGCUGGCACAACAGAGACUCAGAGGGGUGAAAGGCUUUGAAUGCUGAAAAAAUCAAUUCAGGCUUGGCAAGAUGUAAGCGGGUAGCAAUUUUAAACGGAGUGAAAUAAUGCAGAGAAAUGGAUAGGGGUUGAGAGGAAGUAUAUGUGUGUAUGUGGAAGAGAUACACAUUUAUUCUUGUUUUGUUUCUGCUUAUUCUGUGAAGUCAACCGAAAGAGAUCGUGGUUGUUAUAUAACUCACAUAGCCUCACAUAACUUAGAGUAAAACAACUUCUCAGACAAUUCACACCCAAAUAAUUGCAUUUUACUCACGUAAUGUGACAUUUUUCUGGGUGAGACUGGAUUUUCAAGGAGUAAAAAUGCAUGGCAGGACUUGAUCUUAUUUACUGCGAAUUGAAUGAAUAGUGAAGUGGUCUCUGUAUGACAGGUAAUUUUAGGGGUUGGAAAAUAAGAGGAGUUGGAGAUGCCAGACAAAAUAAACUUUU
Molecule: non-coding RNA, 1746 nt
Organism: Pimephales promelas (fathead minnow)
Lineage: Eukaryota; Metazoa; Chordata; Actinopteri; Cypriniformes; Leuciscidae
Source: RefSeq, a predicted model, not a curated record